RNAcentral lists this long non-coding RNA (1001 nucleotides) under Marmota monax (woodchuck). The record is from RNAcentral. Lineage: Eukaryota; Metazoa; Chordata; Mammalia; Rodentia; Sciuridae.
CAUAUAGUGAUUUGUUUUUUGUUCUUAGGACUUUAGGUUAGGUGCUAUGAAGGUAUAAGGGUUAGUAUGUCUUGGCUACUUUAGAAGAUUGCUCUACUGAAGGGGGAUGCUAACCGUCAAUUGGAUCAGGGUGUUGGUAGUAGCUAGGUAUUUAGGAGCACUAUAGACGGCCUCGAAACAUUCACCUGUUUGCAUUUAGACAGUUACAUGAAAUGGAGGACGUAAUGCUUGGGAUGAAAGUUGGGGGGAAGGGGAAGGAAGGUGCUCUUGAAAAGAAAGAAGGAGGGGGAGUUAGAUAGCAUAGAGGAGAAUGGAAAGAACAAUAAAACUUGGAAGGGGAGAGAAAGAGGGAAAAAGGGAGAGAAAAAAUAAAAUAAAAUAAGAAAUAAAAUUAGGUCUUAGAGAUCCAUUUUCUUCUCUUCCCGUAGGCAAAGCUGUGCCCUCCGGGCUGAGAUUUGCCCUCAAUGUGUCAACAGCAAUCCCUGUAAGGCGGCUCCUGGGAGUCUCUCAAUCCUGUUGGUCCAGAGCCGUUUCACUUCUACAGCCCCUCCUCCCCUUCCUCCUGCCAGCCAGCCAGGUCCUGUGCACCGGAGGAGGUUCUCCAAGGAUUUGGUUACACUUUCAGCCCCUCUGGGUGCUCUAUUUCCCUAAUGACUGAGCACUCUCUCUGUCAUUCAUCUAAGCCCCAGUGCUGUGGAGCUGUGUUCUGGGAGUCAAUAGUUUAAUUUUUCCGGACCCCUUUGGUGGGCACACCUUCGGAGUCUGGCGGCUAAGACCAUUGGUGUCGCCACUGGUGGUAAUGGGAGUUGGGGGUCGAGGAUCCCAUCUGCUUCCCUCAGCCCCUACAAUCACGACCACUCCGCUGGCAGUAGGAGGAGUUGGGGGUCUGGAGUGUCCUCUGUUUCCCUCCGCCCCUACUGUCACGCCCUCUCAGUUGGCGGUUGGGGGAGUUGGGGGUGGGGAGUCUUCUCUGCUUCCCUCCGCCCCUACAGUCACGCCCA